Molecule: ribosomal RNA, 492 nt
Filed under: uncultured bacterium
Lineage: Bacteria
Description: partial 16S ribosomal RNA
Rfam family: Bacterial small subunit ribosomal RNA
Source: RNAcentral
AGUGAACGCUGGCGGUAGGCCUAACACAUGCCAGUCGAACGGCAGCACAGAAAGAGCUUGCUCUUACGGGUGGCGAGUGGCGGACGGGUGAGGAAUACAUCGGAAUCUACUUUUUCGUGGGGGAUAACGUAGGGAAACUUACGCUAAUACCGCAUACGACCUACGGGUGAAAGCAGGGGAUCUUCGGACCUUGCGCGAUUGAAUGAGCCGAUGUCGGAUUAGCUAGUUGGCGGGGUAAAGGCCCACCAAGGCGACGAUCCGUAGCUGGUCUGAGAGGAUGAUCAGCCACACUGGAACUGAGACACGGUCCAGACUCCUACGGGAGGCAGCAGUGGGGAAUAUUGGACAAUGGGCGCAAGCCUGAUCCAGCCAUACCGCGUGGGUGAAGAAGGCCUUCGGGUUGUAAAGCCCUUUUGUUGGGAAAGAAAAGCAGCAGGUUAAUACCCCGCUGUUCUGACGGUACCCAAAGAAUAAGCACCGGCUAACUUCGUG